UGUUUUGUUUUCCCUCCGCAAU
Molecule: microRNA, 22 nt
Filed under: Picea abies (Norway spruce)
Lineage: Eukaryota; Viridiplantae; Streptophyta; Pinopsida; Pinales; Pinaceae
Description: pab-miR11551a
Source: miRBase by way of RNAcentral